CGCGAACGUUGGCGGCGUGCCUAACACAUGCAAGUCGUGGGGCAGCAGGCUACUGUCUUUUGGCAGUAGUGCUGGCGACCGGCAAACGGGUGAGUAACACGUAGCUUACCUACCCAUAGGUUGGGGAUAACAUCCCGAAAGGGGUGCUAAUACCCAAUAAUGAGGAGACUCCAAAGCCCUUAUGGGCGCCUAUGGAUGGGGCUGCGUCCCAUCAGCUAGUUGGUGAGGUAAUGGCUCACCAAGGCUACGACGGGUAACCGGUCCGAGAGGAUGACCGGUCACAGUGGGACUGAGACACGGCCCGCACCCCUACGGGGGGCAGCAGUGGGGAAUAUUGGGCAAUGGCCGAAAGGCUGACCCAGCAACGCCGCGUGGUGGAUGAAGCCCUUCGGGGUGUAAACACCUUUUCUGGGGGAAGAUAAUGACGGUACCCCAGGAAUAAGGGACGGCUAACUACGUGCCAGCAGCCGCGGUAAUACGUAG
Molecule: ribosomal RNA, 483 nt
Filed under: uncultured Sulfurihydrogenibium sp.
Lineage: Bacteria; Pseudomonadati; Aquificota; Aquificia; Aquificales; Hydrogenothermaceae
Description: bacterial SSU rRNA
Rfam family: Bacterial small subunit ribosomal RNA
Source: RNAcentral